UAUGACUCUCUUAAGGUAGCCAAA
Molecule: non-coding RNA, 24 nt
Filed under: Arabidopsis thaliana (thale cress)
Lineage: Eukaryota; Viridiplantae; Streptophyta; Magnoliopsida; Brassicales; Brassicaceae
Also listed under: 2 other names
Source: RNAcentral